RNAcentral lists this transfer RNA (77 nucleotides) under Candidatus Buchananbacteria bacterium RIFCSPHIGHO2_01_FULL_44_11. RNAcentral describes it as "tRNA-Arg". It matches the Rfam family "tRNA". Rfam says of the family: Transfer RNA (tRNA) molecules are approximately 80 nucleotides in length. Their secondary structure includes four short double-helical elements and three loops (D, anti-codon, and T loops). Lineage: Bacteria; Candidatus Buchananiibacteriota. The record is from RNAcentral.
GCACCCGUAGCUCAACUGGAUAGAGCAUCAGCUUCCGGAGCUGAGGGUUACAGGUUCAAAUCCUGUCGGGUGCACCA